UACGGGGGGGGCAAGCGUUGUUCGGAAUUACUGGGCGUAAAGGGCUCGUAGGCGGCCAACUAAGUCGGACGUGAAAUCCCCAGGCUCAACCUGGGAACUGCGUCUGAUACUGGAUGGCUUGAAUCCGGGAGAGGGAUGCAGAAUUCCAGGUGUAGCGGUGAAAUGCGUAGAUAUCUGGAGGAACACCGGUGGCGAAGGCGGCAUCCUGGACCGAGAUCGACGCUGAGGCGCGAAAGCUAGGGGAGCAAACGGG
Molecule: ribosomal RNA, 253 nt
Filed under: uncultured bacterium
Lineage: Bacteria
Description: partial 16S ribosomal RNA
Rfam family: Bacterial small subunit ribosomal RNA
Source: RNAcentral